RNAcentral lists this long non-coding RNA (321 nucleotides) under Homo sapiens (human). RNAcentral's name for it is "non-protein coding lnc-GLG1-2:1". Lineage: Eukaryota; Metazoa; Chordata; Mammalia; Primates; Hominidae. The record is from RNAcentral.
AUGGCAGGACAGGCGUUUAGAAAGUUUCUUCCACGAAAGUUUCUUCCACUCUUUGAGCGAGUACUGGUUGAAAGGAGCGCUGCUGAAACUGUAACCAGAGGAGGCAUUAUGCUUCCAGAAAAAUCUCAAGGAAAAGUAUUGCAAGCAAUAGUAGUCGCUGUUGGAUCGGGUUCUAAAGGAAAAGGUGGAGAGAUUCAACCAGUUAGCAUGAAAGUUGGAGAUAAAGUUCUUCUCCCAGAACAUGGAGGCACCAAAGUAAUUCUAGAUGACAAGGAUUAUUUCCUAUUUAGAGAUGGUGACAUUCUUGGAAAGUAUGUAGAC